AUUGAACGCUGGCGGCAUGCCUUACACAUGCAAGUCGAACGGCAGCACGGGUGCUUGCACCUGGUGGCGAGUGGCGAACGGGUGAGUAAUACAUCGGAACAUGUCCUGUAGUGGGGGAUAGCCCGGCGAAAGCCGGAUUAAUACCGCAUACGAUCCACGGAUGAAAGCGGGGGACCUUCGGGCCUCGCGCUAUAGGGUUGGCCGAUGGCUGAUUAGCUAGUUGGUGGGGUAAAGGCCUACCAAGGCGACGAUCAGUAGCUGGUCUGAGAGGACGACCAGCCACACUGGGACUGAGACACGGCCCAGACUCCUACGGGGGGCAGCAGUGGGGAAGUUUGGACAAUGGGCGAAAGCCUGAUCCAGCAAUGACGCGUGGGUGAAGAAGGCCUUCGGGUUGUAAAGCACUUUUGUCCGGAAAGAAAUCCUUGACUCUAAUACAGUCGGGGGAUGAGGUACCGGAAGAAUAAGCACCGGCUAACUACGUG
This 485-nucleotide ribosomal RNA is filed under the name uncultured bacterium. RNAcentral's name for it is "partial 16S ribosomal RNA". It matches the Rfam family "Bacterial small subunit ribosomal RNA", at positions 29 to 507 of the family's 1533-position model. The record is from RNAcentral.